Molecule: unclassified non-coding RNA, 248 nt
Filed under: Nectriaceae sp.
Lineage: Eukaryota; Fungi; Ascomycota; Sordariomycetes; Hypocreales; Nectriaceae
Description: partial contains 5.8S ribosomal RNA, internal transcribed spacer 2, and large subunit ribosomal RNA
Source: RNAcentral
CGCACAUUGCGCCCGCCAGUACUCUGGCGGGCAUGCCUGUCCGAGCGUCAUUUCAACCCUCGAGCCCCCGGGCUUGGUGCUGGGGAUCGGCCGUCACUGGCCGGCCCCGAAAUUGAUUGGCGGUCUCGCCGUAGCCUCCUCUGCGUAGUAGCAACACCUCGCACUGGAACGCGGCGCGGCCCAGCCGUUAAACCCCCAACUUCUGAAAGGUUGACCUCGGAUCAGGUAGGAAUACCCGCUGAACUUAA